Molecule: long non-coding RNA, 5945 nt
Organism: Equus quagga
Lineage: Eukaryota; Metazoa; Chordata; Mammalia; Perissodactyla; Equidae
Exons: 3
Source: RefSeq, a predicted model, not a curated record
CGGAGCUCGGCGGUCGGGCGCCCGUCCCGGUGGAGCAGGGACCGUGGCCGCGCGGUGUCCCGGCGCAGGUGCCGAGCCGCGGAGACGCCCCUGCUCGCUCCACCUUGGCCGUGACGGCGUCCUCGGUUCAUUUAGGAAAAAGACCCCCAGACUUGCAGGUGUCCACGGAGGGGUCCCAGCUCCCAGGACGUCGGAAAGGUGGGACUGCCCCCCGCCCCGGGCCCGGGCUCCCCUCCGGGAAACGGGGCGGUGCGAGCGGCCUCCCCCGAGCGCCCGUGGGGAGCAGGGCUGCGGACGGACGGCGGCCCCGACUCUGAACCCGCUCGGCGUGGGGUCCCUGCAGGAGGCUGAGACCGCGGGCCUGUCGGAGCGCGUGGGAGGCCCGCCGUCUGCGGCUCCCCGCGCCUUCCCGGGGCUGAGCCGCCCGAGGGGGGCCCUUCAACCUGAGCAGCAUCUUCGGGGAGGAGGCUGUCAAGACUUCUGUCCCAGAGCUCUGCAGUAACUGCCGUUAACGUGAGGGUGAUGAGAGCUGGCUCCGCCCCGUGAUUAGUGGCGCAUACUGGAGAACAGAGGCUGCCAGAAGCUGGAAUCCACGACCCUGGAAGGGAGCAGGUUAAUCCCCGCUUGGCGUCUGAGCCUGUACUGUUUACCUCGCACUCGACUCUAAUCUGUGAGUUGAUUGUCAGCUUCAGUUUCCUGGGAGAGCACACAGCCUUAACCUGAAGUGGACCCUAACCAUGGAGAAGUCCUGCGGAAGCCAAUGGGAUGGCACAGUCAUCUCAACCCUGAGAGAAAAACGGUCCUUCCAGCCAGGGGAGGCAGGAGGAUGCGACCCUCUCUGAAGAACGUGGAGGGAAUCCGUGUUUAUUGUUUCUCUCCUCAUUUUGCCUGAGGGCAGUUCCUUUUGGCAAAAUCAUGGGGCAUGUCGGCGGGUAACAACCAGAGAGAAACCGAGACUUUCUAACCAGAGCACCAGGAAAAGAGACCCCAGGGGGCCAGAGAGCCCGGGAGUCAUCCUGGAGAGGAGAGGCCUGGAAAGCGGCUCACCAUUCUGUGUACGAGCAGACACACGUGCCCAGCGCUGCAUGUGCAAGGCAGAGCAGAAGCACGUUCGAAAUGAAUCGACACUGGAACUGCCACCAACAGAGAAAGACGGGGCUGCUGUCAGAGGAUAACCAGCGCAAGUCUGCUGAAGCACAACUAAACAUGCCCCAGAGAAUUCUUUAGAAUUUUAGCACACAGGGUCUCCCAGCAUAAACAGACAGUCCUUGCUUUGCACAGCAGGACAGACCGUAAAAAUGGCCGUGCCAGCUGAAACUGUGCCCUGCAGCCAUAAUAACCACUGGGUAAAGUUAGGAUUUUCUGUGACUUUUAGAAAUUUUCAUCAAAACAUCAAAAACUCAUAUUGUCGGUUAUAAAUGUGUGAGGAAAUGAGCAAAAUAGUAAAAUUAAUAUUUAUUUUGUACAUUGCAAUCAAAAACAUUAGUAACACAAGAUUAAACUGUUUUCAGUCUUCGUGAAAAACUCACCGAGUCAUGUGAACGGCACCUGCCUUCGUAAGUGGUAUAACUUACUUCACAACUCAUCGUACUCCUUUCUAAGUUUGCAUCAGCUUCCAACGUUUUCUCCUUUGUGCUUCUAAUGUCAUGAAAUAUCUCCAGGUUCCUUUAAUGGGAGUUUUUUUGCCGGUGUCCCUUCCUCUGGGACAUCUUCGUCCUUUUUGUCACAACCACUUUGCUCACUUGUUUGAUAAAUUCACUUUACUCGGUUCCUUUGACAGCACGUCUCGACUGUCUGGCUCGUGCAGUUGCUCUGUCUUUGAUGACCCCAUUUAUGUUUGCUUUGAAUUUCACUCUCAUUGUUUCCAGCUUCCAUUUCUUCGCUGCACUUUCAUCCUUGUUGGCCAAUGCCCUCUUUGGAUGACCACUUUUGUAAACUGUCAUGUGGGUUUAUCACUGGAGACAAGGAGGCAACGCAACCACAUGCUUUGCUGUCUGUGCACAUGAGCUAAGAGGCGUGCAGUGCCCAGUCACCGACAGACUCUGCAAGAAGUGCUGUCAUCAGUCACCGAGCACGAUGCCAUCUGCUGUUCACGUGUGAUGGGUGGAGUGGGGCCACCCACACAGUUUCAGCGAGACAGAACUUCAUGCAAUUACUCACAGUUACUACACUGAGGUAACCAAAAUUUGAUCUGUGGUGUUGGGGAACUGUGUCGACUAAAUUGGUAACUGAAAAUUCAGAAUCAUAAAGUGUCGUUUCUACCAUAUGCUGCUCAUUAGACGUGAAUCCCUAGUUCUGGCUCACUCUCAAGAGGAGGGGAACUAGGCUCCAGCUUUUGAAGGGAGGAUUGUCAGUGGAUUUGUGGACGUAUUUUAGAACUACCAAAGAAUAUUUGCCAAGAAGAUUUGCACUGAAUAUACAGUUCUGGAUUGAUGGUUCUUUCCUGUUAACACUUUAAAGAUAGUGAUUCACUCUGUUCUGGCCACUGGAUUUUUGAUUCGAUUUUGGCCGUUAUCUGUAAUUCAAAUUGUUGUUCCCUGCAUUGAGUGUGGUGUUUUUUUCCUGGCUGCUUUCAAGGUUUUUUAUCUCUGAUUUUCAGCAGUUUGAUUAUAAUAUCCUGGGCAUCUUGUUUGGAUGUUGCAGCAUUUCUUGAACCUGUAAAUUUAUAUUGUUCACCAAAUUUAGGAAAUUUUCAGUAAUUAUUCCUCCAAAACAUUUUUUCCCACUUCAUUUCCCCCUCCCCUUUCUGUGACCCAAUGAUGACUUUUUAGGCCUUUUGAUGUUGCCUCUCAGAUUCCUGAAGCUCCCUUCAUUUUGUUCUGUCCUUUAUCUCAGCAUUCCUCAGAAUGGUUAAUUUCUAUUGAUCUGUGUUCAAGUCACGGAGUCUUCUGUUAUUUCCAUUGUGCUAUGAAGCCCAUCCCUUACCUUUUUUUAAAUUUCAGAAAUUAUAUUUUUCAGUUCUAAAAUUCCCACUUGGAAUCUUUAUAGCUUCUAUGUCUCUGCCAAGAACUUCUAUCUUUCUAUUCAUCUUAUGAGCAUGGUUAUAAUAGCUGCUUUCAAAUUUUGUCUGAUGAUCCAACAACUGGGCCAUUUUUGGCUUGACACAUAUUGAUUGCCUUUUCCCAUAUGAAUAGGUCAUAUUUCCCUGAGUCCUCGGGUGUCCAAUAAUUUUGUAUUGUAUCCUGGACAUUUUGAAUGUUAUGUUGUCAGACUCUGCAAUCUGUUGAAAUCCUGUGGAGAGCACUGAUUUUAAGCAGGCAGUCACUCCCCUUAGGCUCAGACUGCAACUCUCUCUCCUGCCGUGGGUGGUGGUUCCAACACAGCUCAGGUUUCAAAGCUUUUGUUCACCUCUGUGGGACUGUCCAUGCGUGUGCGGCUUCAGCUGAGCCCACGACUUGAGCCAGUUCAUGUGCAGAGGCAGGUCCCCUCUCCAGCACUUUCUCUAAGGUUUCCCAACACACACUGCUUGGCUUACAGGAACUUCUCAGAGUUUUUGUUGCCAAUCCUGCCUUUCUAUAGGACCAGGACUGGAGUCUCCCUUGAGCAGAGCUGAGAAAGAAAAAGCAGCAAGAUGUAUCUAUACAGCAGGCCCCCUUAUCCACGGGGCAUACAUUCCAGGACCCCCAGUGGUUGCCUGAAACUACCGAUAAUAGGGAACCCUAUAUACACUGUCUUUUUUCCUAACUAAUGGGCUAACGGGUAGGUAGCACAUAGAGUGUGGAUCUGCUGGACAAAGGGGUGUUUCACGUCCCGGGCAGGACAGAGCCAGACAGCGAGAGAUGACAUCACACGACUCAGAAUAGUGUGCAAUUUAAAACUUAUGAAUUGUUUAUUUCUGGAAUUUGCUAUUUAAUAUUUUUGGAGCACAGUUGAUCAUGGGUAACUGAAACUGUGGAGAGUGAAACUAAGGAUAAGGAGGGGCUGCCACAUACGUCUUCAUAUCUAUGCCCAUGUCUACAUCUGCGUCUGUACCAUCUGUAUCAAAUGCCAUGUCUCUCUCUCUCUAUUUUGUGAGAGAACACACAGGGAUUUCCCCCUGCAAUCUCUUUGGCUCAUAGGGACCCUUUUUCCUGGUCCUCUGGGCAGAAGGAGAGGGCUUUUCUUGGAGUUUCUGGUGCGCAUGCCAGCUGGGGAGUUCUCUGACUGGGGCCCCUUUCAUGUCAAAGCUGGAAGAGUUAAGAGAAUAACCUGAGAACCUCACUCUUGCACAGGUCACUUCUGUAAAUUUUGACCCCGCCGCCCAAUUUGCCUACCGUUAUUUACUUUCCAGAGUCUGCAGGGAGUUGAUAUAUAAUUUUGUUCAAAAAUUUCAGCUGUAAUGAGUGGGAGAAAUAGGCUGUAGUGUGUUUGCUCUAUCUUGGCGAGCAUGAGAGGUCCUAAAACUUUUAAAAUCUUAUAAAAUUUGUUUGAGUUUAUUUUAUUUUGGGGAGAAAUCAAAUGUUUUCCCAAGCGGCUUCAGCAUUCUUUUUUCUCUCCUUCUCCAACAACAGGGAUGGUUAGAACAAUUUGUGUGGCAGGUGAAGAAUCCGCGAUGUUAUGGUCUUUUAUAACUAAAUGGGAAACUGCCAACUUUACGUUCACUUCACUUGCUCCCUGGCUCAACAGAACUGAACUUGGGUAUUUCUUAGAGAAGUUUUUUACAUGUCUUUGAUUUCUCAAAGUAUCAUAGUACUGCAUGUUUUAAUCCCAAAUUGGCUUCUUCUGCUAUAUAUUUAAAUUUCAUAUAAUAUAUAUGAAGGUUAACUUGUCACUACCCUCUUUAUUCAAAAUACUAUUUAUAUGAGGCAAAUUUUACUAAGAAAAGGUAUUUUGGAGGAGUUUUUGUAAUCAGCUUAAAACAUGUCUAUUUUCUUUGGUUUAAAUGUAGAGUAAAAAGAUUUAGCUUAUUUCAAUUAAGGAAUCCUUUUAAGCAAAAAGAUUGUUGUAAAAUCAAGCCAAACAAGUAUGCAGGUUUUAAUAAGAAAUGGUUGAUUUUAAAACCUACAUCUUCUAUCUUGCUGCAGUUUAAAGACAGACAGAAUGAUGCAGCCUGUCAGUAAUCCAACACAGGAAAGCGGGUCUGCAGCCUUCGCGGGGUAGGUGCGGGCAACCUGACGUCAGUGAUCCAGCAGAGAAAGCGAGUCUGCGGCCGUCGGGGGUGAGUGCAGGACGUUCUGAUGGCCCUUUUGUAGCCCGAAGGAAGGCAGAAGCAGUUAACCUGUUGCUAAGCAGCAAUGCUUCAGGGACCAGAACCCUUGGAAACCAAAGAGCCGGUAGGGGUAUGGAUUGUCCAAAUUCACAAAGAGAGAGAGGCGGCAGUGUGCACAUGAAUGGAGAUCCGGGAAACCACCUUUGAGAACUAAGCAAAGGCAAUUCAAAUGAGCAUUUGAGAAAUAAACCAAAGACCCAGUUCUCAAUUUCUUCCAUGCACUUAACACACACCGAGCUCUAUGGAGAUCUGCAAGUGUAGGGGCCAGAAGAUUAACCCCCAAGUAGCUUCACCAAAUAUGACAAUAACAAUAAUAAUAAAGUGAAUUUUUAUUAACACACUUAAGGCAUUUUGCCAAAAAUGCUACCUUUCAUAAGUAGUAAGAGAAAAUCAAUGCUAAAAUUUUGCUAAGAGAUUGUUAAGUUUCAAAUUGGAAGGUCAAAGAAUUCAGCAAAAUCAAAUGGGAAGGUUAGCAUUGUUAUAGACUUGAGAAUUGGAUUUUCCCUUAAAUUUUGUUGCUAAUACUAUAGAGAGAAAGUAUUUAAAGAAAAAUAUGAACAUUUCUAUUUUACCUCAGUUAUGAAGAGGUUAAAAUUUCUAUCUCCUUUAUAAAAUCUCAAAUAUGUAAAUAUAGGUUCUUUUCAAGCAGAACCACCACGUGUUCCUUUCCAAAAUAUGUAAGGAACUCAUAGAACUCAACAGCAAACAAUAUAAAUAAAUAACCAAUUAAAGAAAAGGCAAAGGACGUGAAUAGACA